RNAcentral lists this ribosomal RNA (900 nucleotides) under Paraphaeosphaeria burbidgeae. RNAcentral describes it as "partial large subunit ribosomal RNA". It matches the Rfam family "Eukaryotic large subunit ribosomal RNA", at positions 43 to 960 of the family's 3401-position model. Lineage: Eukaryota; Fungi; Ascomycota; Dothideomycetes; Pleosporales; Didymosphaeriaceae. The record is from RNAcentral.
UCAAUAAGCGGAGGAAAAGAAACCAACAGGGAUUGCCCUAGUAACGGCGAGUGAAGCGGCAACAGCUCAAAUUUGAAAUCUGGCUCUCUUUGGGGGUCCGAGUUGUAAUUUGCAGAGGAUGCUUUGGCAUUGGCGGCGGUCUAAGUUCCUUGGAACAGGACAUCACAGAGGGUGAGAAUCCCGUACGUGGUCGCCUGCCUUUGCCGUGUAAAGCUCCUUCGACGAGUCGAGUUGUUUGGGAAUGCAGCUCUAAAUGGGAGGUAAAUUUCUUCUAAAGCUAAAUACUGGCCAGAGACCGAUAGCGCACAAGUAGAGUGAUCGAAAGAUGAAAAGUACUUUGGAAAGAGAGUCAAAAAGCACGUGAAAUUGUUGAAAGGGAAGCGCUUGCAGCCAGACUUGCCCGCAGUUGCUCACCUAGGCUUUCGCCUGGGGCACUCUUCUGCGGGCAGGCCAGCAUCAGUUUGGGCGGUUGGAUAAAGGCCUCUGUCACGUAUCUCCCUUCGGGGUGACCUUAUAGGGGAGGCGUAAUGCAACCAGCCCGGACUGAGGUCCGCGCAUCUGCUAGGAUGCUGGCGUAAUGGCUGUAAGCGGCCCGUCUUGAAACACGGACCAAGGAGUCUAACAUCUAUGCGAGUGUUUGGGUGUCAAGCCCGAGCGCGUAAUGAAAGUGAACGGAGGUGGGAACCUUUUAGGUGCACCAUCGACCGAUCCUGAUGUCUUCGGAUGGAUUUGAGUAAGAGCAUAGCUGUUGGGACCCGAAAGAUGGUGAACUAUGCUUGAAUAGGGUGAAGCCAGAGGAAACUCUGGUGGAGGCUCGCAGCGGUUCUGACGUGCAAAUCGAUCGUCAAAUUUGGGCAUAGGGGCGAAAGACUAAUCGAACCAUCUAGUAGCUGGUUCCUG